GAGAACGGGGUUCACAACGACGAUCGCGAGUUAUCGUCAGGCGACUGGGGUUCAAAUGGAGAACGGGGUUUAUUGUUUGGCAGCAAGUUUGACAUGAAGUUUUCGGGGUUCAAAUGCGGUGAUCAGGGAUCAUCCGCGUGGAAGAGAAAAUAUUAGUUUUGGGGUUCAAGAAAAGAAAAAAAAUCAAAGAAGUACCGAGGUUCAAAAAAAAAAUCAUCCUCAGAAGGUUG
This 230-nucleotide long non-coding RNA is filed under the name Lathyrus oleraceus (garden pea). Its description in RNAcentral is "Pisum sativum (pea) long non-coding RNA (PSAT_LNC001951)". Lineage: Eukaryota; Viridiplantae; Streptophyta; Magnoliopsida; Fabales; Fabaceae. The record is from RNAcentral.